ACACAUGCAAGUCGAACGGAGUUUAAUUGACAGAAGCCUUCGGGCAGAAGACGAUUAAACUUAGUGGCGGACGGGUGAGUAACGCGUGGAUAACCUGCCUUAUAGAGGGGGACAACAGUUGGAAACGACUGCUAAUACCGCAUAAGGUCUCGAGACCGCAUGAUCUUGAGAAGAAAGAUGGCCUCUGAAAAUGCUAUCGCUAUAAGAUGGAUCCGCGUCUGAUUAGCUAGUUGGUGAGGUAACGGCCCACCAAGGCAACGAUCAGUAGCCGGUCUGAGAGGGUGAACGGCCACAUUGGGACUGAGACACGGCCCAAACUCCUACGGGAGGCAGCAGUGGGGAAUCUUCCGCAAUGGGCGAAAGCCUGACGGAGCAAUGCCGCGUGAAUGAAGAAGGCCUUCGGGUCGUAAAAUUCUGUCCUUAUUGAAGAGAGGUUCAUGUGUAAACAAUGCAUGAAUAGGACGGUAGAUAAGGAGGAAGCCCCGGCUAACUACGUGCCAGCAGCCGCGGUAAUACGUAGGGGGCGAGCGUUGUCCGGAAUCACUGGGCGUAAAGGGCGCGUAGGCGGCCUAGUAAGUCAGAUGUGAAAAGUGAGGGCUCAACCCUUAGAGUGCAUCUGAUACUGCUAGGCUUGAGUACAGAAGAGGAAAGCGGAAUUCCUAGUGUAGCGGUGAAAUGCGUAGAUAUUAGGAGGAACACCAGUGGCGAAGGCGGCUUUCUGGGCUGAAACUGACGCUGAGGCGCGAAAGCGUGGGGAGCAAACAGGAUUAGAUACCCUGGUAGUCCACGCCGUAAACGAUGGGUACUAGGUGUCGGGGG
Molecule: ribosomal RNA, 819 nt
Filed under: uncultured bacterium
Lineage: Bacteria
Description: bacterial SSU rRNA
Rfam family: Bacterial small subunit ribosomal RNA
Source: RNAcentral